GAUGAACGCUGGCGGCGUGCCUAAUACAUGCAAGUCGAGCGAACGGACGAGAAGCUUGCUUCUCUGAUGUUAGCGGCGGACGGGGGAGUAACACGUGGAUAACCUCCCUUUAAGACUGGGAUAACUUCGGGAAACGGGAGCUAAUACCGGAUGAUAUUUUAAACCGCAUGGUUAAAAAGUGAAAGACGGUCUUGCUGUCACUUAUAGAGGGAUCCGCGCUGCAUUAGCUAGUUGGUAAGGUAACGGCUUACCAAGGCAACGAUGCAUAGCCGACCUGAGAGGGUGAUCGGCCACACUGGAACUGAGACACGGUCCAGACUCCUACGGGAGGCAGCAGUAGGGAAUCUUCCGCAAUGGGCGAAAGCCUGACGGAGCAACGCCGCGUGAGUGAUGAAGGUCUUCGGAUCGUAAAACUCUGUUAUUAGGGAAGAACAUAUGUGUAAGUAACUGUGCACAUCUUGACGGUACCUAAUCAGAAAGCCACGGCUAACUACGUG
RNAcentral lists this ribosomal RNA (497 nucleotides) under uncultured bacterium. Its description in RNAcentral is "partial 16S ribosomal RNA". It matches the Rfam family "Bacterial small subunit ribosomal RNA", at positions 28 to 507 of the family's 1533-position model. The record is from RNAcentral.